CCUUCGGGAGCCGACGAGUGGCGGACGGGUGAGUAACGCGUAGGAAUCUGCCUGGUAGUGGGGGACAACGUGGGGAAACUCACGCUAAUACCGCAUACGCCCUACGGGGGAAAGCGGGGGCUCUUCGGACCUCGCGCUAUCAGAUGAGCCUGCGUUAGAUUAGCUAGUUGGUAGGGUAAAGGCCUACCAAGGCGACGAUCUAUAGCUGGUCUGAGAGGACGAUCAGCCACACUGGGACUGAGACACGGCCCAGACUCCUACGGGAGGCAGCAGUGGGGAAUAUUGGACAAUGGGCGCAAGCCUGAUCCAGCAAUACCGCGUGUGUGAAGAAGGCCUUAGGGUUGUAAAGCACUUUCAAUGGGGAGGAAAACCUGCCGGUCAAUACCCGGUAGCUUGACAUUACCUUUAGAAGAAGCACCGGCUAACUCCGUGCCAGCAGCCGCGGUAAUACGGAGGGUGCGAGCGUUAAUCGGAAUUACUGGGCGUAAAGCGUGCGUAGGCGGUUCGUUAAGUCAGAUGUGAAAGCCCUGGGCUCAACCUGGGAACGGCAUUUGAAACUGGCGGACUAGAGUUUAGUAGAGGGGAGUGGAAUUUCAGGUGUAGCGGUGAAAUGCGUAGAUAUCUGAAGGAACACCAGUGGCGAAGGCGACUCCCUGGACUAGAACUGACGCUGAGGUACGAAAGCGUGGGUAGCAAACAGGAUUAGAUACCCUGGUAGUCCACGCCGUAAACGAUGUCAACUAGCCGUUGGUCCUAUUUACAGGAUUAGUGGCGCAGCUAACGCAUUAAGUUGACCGCCUGGGGAGUACGGCCGCAAGGUUAAAACUCAAAUGAAUUGACGGGGGCCCGCACAAGCGGUGGAGCAUGUGGUUUAAUUCGAUGCAACGCGAAGAACCUUACCUACCCUUGACAUCCAGAGAAUCAA
Molecule: ribosomal RNA, 925 nt
Filed under: uncultured Methylobacter sp.
Lineage: Bacteria; Pseudomonadati; Pseudomonadota; Gammaproteobacteria; Methylococcales; Methylococcaceae
Description: bacterial SSU rRNA
Rfam family: Bacterial small subunit ribosomal RNA
Source: RNAcentral